AUUGAACGCUGGCGGAAUGCUUUACAUAUGCAAGUCGAACGGUAGAGGGGGCAACCCCUCGAGAGUGGCGAACGGGUGAGUAAUAUAUCGGAACGUGCCCAGUCGUGGGGGAUAACGUAGCGAAAGUUACGCUAAUACCGCAUACGAUCUAAGGAUGAAAGCGGGGGAUCGCAAGGCCUCGCGCGAUUGGAGCGGCCGAUAUCAGAUUAGGUAGUUGGGGGGGUAAAGGCUCGCCAAGCCAACGAUCUGUAGCUGGUCUGAGAGGACGAACAGCCACACUGGAACUGUGACACGGUCCAGACUCCUACGGGAGGCAGCAGUGGGGAAUUUUGGACAAUGGACGCAAGUCUGAUCCAGCCAUUCCGCGUGCAGGAUGAAGGCCCUCGGGUUGUAAACUGCUUUUGUACGGAACGAAAAGGUCUCUCUUAAUACGGGGGGCUCAUGACGGUACCGUAAGAAUAAGCACCGGCUAACUACGUGCCAGCCGCCGCCGUAA
RNAcentral lists this ribosomal RNA (496 nucleotides) under uncultured bacterium. RNAcentral describes it as "partial 16S ribosomal RNA". It matches the Rfam family "Bacterial small subunit ribosomal RNA", at positions 30 to 523 of the family's 1533-position model. The record is from RNAcentral.